GAGCUUGCUCUGGGGGAUUAGUGGCGAACGGGUGAGUAACACGUGAGUAACCUGCCCUUGACUCUGGGAUAACCUCCGGAAACGGAAGCUAAUACCGGAUAUGACGCACGGAGGCAUCUCCUGUGCGUGGAAAGAACUUCGGUCAAGGAUGGACUCGCGGCCUAUCAGGUAGUUGGUGAGGUAACGGCUCACCAAGCCUACGACGGGUAGCCGGCCUGAGAGGGUGACCGGCCACACUGGGACUGAGACACGGCCCAGACUCCUACGGGAGGCAGCAGUGGGGAAUAUUGCACAAUGGGCGCAAGCCUGAUGCAGCAACGCCGCGUGAGGGAUGACGGCCUUCGGGUUGUAAACCUCUUUUAGUAGGGAAGAAGCGAAAGUGACGGUACCUGCAGAAAAAGCACCGGCUAACUACGUGCCAGCAGCCGCGGUAAUACGUAGGGUGCGAGCGUUGUCCGGAAUUAUUGGGCGUAAAGAGCUCGUAGGCGGUCUGUCGCGUCUGCUGUGAAAACCCGAGGCUCAACCUCGGGCCUGCAGUGGGUACGGGCAGACUAGAGUGCGGUAGGGGAGAAUGGAAUUCCUGGUGUAGCGGUGGAAUGCGCAGAUAUCAGGAGGAACACCGAUGGCGAAGGCAGUUCUCUGGGCCGUAA
Molecule: ribosomal RNA, 650 nt
Filed under: uncultured bacterium
Lineage: Bacteria
Description: bacterial SSU rRNA
Rfam family: Bacterial small subunit ribosomal RNA
Source: RNAcentral